Bos taurus (domestic cattle) is the source of this 8137-nucleotide long non-coding RNA. The record is from Ensembl. NCBI's taxonomy places the organism in Eukaryota, Metazoa, Chordata, Mammalia, Artiodactyla, Bovidae.
AGCAUGUUAACAGUUUUUUUUGGGGGGGAGGGCGGGAAUUUCUUAAUAGAACAUCAUAGCAUCGCAACACUUUAUUAAUACAGUACUGGCUUUGAAUUAGUGGCUGAAAGAACAAUUGCACGAAGCCAGAUCAGGUGUACUGCAUAAUACUCAUACUUGAUUUAUUGACAUUACUUAGCAAUUUAUUGGACAAAGGUCAAACUUUUUGUUUUUUAUUAAGCACAUUCCACAGUACAAAGCUGUCAUGAAUAAUAUCUGUACAAUUUAACAGUUUUAAUAGCUGUUCAGACACAAAUUUAUUUCAAACAGAUAAUUGGCAAACAUAAUUAAUUACAAGUUAGAAUUAGACUAUCCCAGUGCUUUAAAACAUUAAUAUAGCAGUAAUUUACAGUUGCUCAAUUAUGGUUAGCAAAAUAAAGUCCAGAGUACGGCUGGGAAUUACUACUAUAAUCCCAGAAAGUCGGAAUUCCUUGGGUGCCAAAGUCCCCUGCUAUAAUUUAGUAGGCACAAUUCAAAGGUUGUGUGCAUAUUCAAAGGCCAUGAUCUCCCAAGGAACAGGAACUUCUAUAUUAAACAUGCAAAACAACAGAAAGUCCAUCCGUUCAGAAGCAGCGCCUCCUCCCCUCCCCCCUGCCCCGCCCCGGGCUCUCCUACCCAGCCUGCUGUUUAAGCUGUAGAAUGAAGAGCGGGUCAGUGAAAACAACUCGCAUAACCACCCUCAGGCUCACACAUCCACUGGAUGAAUGGAGAUGUAUUUUUUUAUACUUUGAGACUCCUCAAAAAUAGAAAUUAACUUAAUAACAUAUACGAGAGAAGGAUGUUAUUUUUUAAAAGGACAAAGGAAAACAAAACCAACCAACCCAAUAAGCAAUCACAGACACACAUUGAUCCCCACACCGUUCUUAAUGCAAAAGGACAAAGCAGAGCCCAGGUACCUUCCCCUCUGGGGAGAGUGUGCUCUCACGGGAAGAGGUUUAGUUAACAGGAGGUUCUCAUUGGUCCUUGAAAAUGUUAGCGACCUUCCUUGAUCUUUGGAAACAGUGGCAAAGGGCAAAUCAAAACCUAAUACUGGACAAGGGAAAAGGAGGGCCAACUGGACACCAACAUCCUUUCCAUGCGGGUCAUCGUGACAGUGCCAUUCACACAUUUCCGGCUGCAGAGCGCCUGGGAGCCAGGGGAGCUUGCUGGGGCCACGGCAGCAGGCACCAGGGAUGACAGGGAUGGGGUUCGUGAGCCUGAGGCUUCACACCUCCUGGGAGGACUCUUCCACUCAAGACGGGCCCCUGAACCAGCCUGACCUGGAACCCCGGGCUCCAACACACAAAUGGGCCCUGCCACCAACCCGAUCCGGGCAGGACGCACAAACGCUGGAGGUGGGGCAGUCAGUGAGUAGGUCUGUCUCAUCCUUCCCUUUCCAGGGUUACUAACACACAGAGCGUGACCUGGGAUGAGAAAUCAGAUGAAUGAAUGCCAUGGGAAGUAACCACGAAUACAGAGGAGUACUGAUGAAGAAAAGAACAACAAAAACAUUUAAGGUACCUCUCUUAUUGUAUAUACUGCAUGACAAACAAAACAUUUCGUGUUCAACUUCAGAAAUUACAUCUUAAAACAAGAUUCUCAUUAAAACACACACACCCCUCCCACACACGCACAAUGACAAUGACAAAAUGAAAACACUGUAUGAAUACUGCAGGAAGGGUUCCAGGUCAUCCACAUCGACCCUGGGAGCGGGUUCUUGAGCCCAGCCCAUGGUGAAGUGCGAACACACUGUGGAUUAGUGUCUCAGGCACGGGGGCCCCGACUCGAGCAACCUUGAGGUUAAACUGUUAUGUACAUUAUAUCUACAUGCGACACAGUAUUUUAAAUUAGGAGGCAAGCACACGUGUGAAGGUGUUACUCUACUGAAUAUCAGGAGAUGGUGGCGGGUACGGAGAACAGUUAACAGAAGAAGAAGAGCUGUAUCACCUGUUGGGAGAGAAUAUAACCUGGCAUAUAGUUCUUUAAAUUAAAAGAAAUUGGUACAGAAAGGAAGUAUAAUCCAAAAAAAUAUCAAUCAAUCCAGAGAAAUGUUUCCAUUGUCCAACAUGUUCCUAAUACAAGUCAGAAUUCAUCAUGACUUGGACGGUCAAAAGGAGAAUGCUAACUUCUGAAAAGGGAAGCCCUGGACAUUCUGGGUAGGUGUUUGGCACCCAAAUUUCACCGAAGAAUGCUGUUUCUUAAUAUCAGACCAAAGUGCAAAGCAAUAUAAAUUAGAGGCCAAGUCUUCUCUUGACGGUCGAUUUACUUCUGCAAAACAGACUUUACGUUCCUCUCAUAUGAACAAUUUACAUUUGAAGCGUUAGAUUUGUUUUCACUGGUAGGGGGAGGAAGUGGGCUUCUGUACUACUGAAAGUCGGUGAGGCUAAGGUAUCCUUCUCAAAGCAGAGGCCGGAAUCGGAGGUGAGAAAUAUCGGUACUUGAAGAGUUAGGCUGCUUUGCAUCUACCCAGCGUCUAGAACCAAUUCCAGCUUCUUAACUCAGCUGUGAAGAACUCCCUUAGGCAUUUGGUAGCCGCGUAGCCAGUAGUUCAAGACUAGGAAACCCUGGGAAAAAAAAACACAAACAAACAAAAAAAACCAAAGGGAGCAUGGAUGGAUAUUCUGGUUGGAUGUGAAGAUAUAUAUCACAGCCCAUACAUCUCCACAAAGACACAUACAUUGCUGUGCACACGUUAACACUGACUGUCAAAUAACCAGCAUCAAAACAGACGCUGCAAACUGUUUUGAGCAUACUACGUACCAGGCGUCACAUUUAUUUAAACCUCACAACAAACUUAUGAGGGAGCAGCUAUUAUACUCACUUAAAAGAGAGAACUGAGGCUCAGAAACAUUAUUUAGUUUAAAGCAUUAGCCCUUAUAUCCUGGGAUAAACCAUAAUGGAAAAGAAUAUAUAAAAAAGAAUAUAUUUAUGUGUAUAACUCAGUCACUUUGCUGUACAGCACAAAUUAUCACAACAUUGCAAAUAAACUAGACUUCAAGGGGAAAAAAAGCAUUAGCUUAAGUGACAGAGAGGGGAUUCAAAGAGAUGACUGACCCUAUACCCUAUCAUUUUUCACACUGCUAAAGGUUAUGCAUGUAAUAUAUGCUCAAAGUUACAUUUUAUAAUUAGCAUCAUCUUAAAUUUAUGCCACCCAGAGCCCACCAGGCCUCUCUUACGAAAGACCAAGAGCCUUUAUCUGUCACUGUAAAACAAAAAAUAUGUAAAGGCUAGUAAAUAAAGUAUUCCUUCUUUAAAAAAAAAAAAAAAAAUUGGCUGUGCUGGGAUCUCAGCUGCAGCAUGCGAGAUCUAGUUCUCCCACCAGGGAUGGAACCCAGGCCCCCUGCAUUGGCAGUGUGGAGUCUUAACCACUGGAUCACCAAGAAAGCCCCUAAAGUAUUCGUUCUAAAUAGAAUGCUAAUAGUCAGGAAUUACUCCUUUUUGAAAUAAAUCAUUUAUAAGAGGAAAACACAAUGCAGAGGGGGAGGCAACUGAAUGGUCUCUAUUUUUUUUGACCAUGAACUUGAGUGAGCUACCCAGGUGGCGCUACUGAUAAAGAGCCUGCCUGCCGAUGCAGAUGUAUGAGACAUGGGUUCAGUCCCUGAGUUGGGAGGAUUCCCUGGAGGAGGAAAUGGCAACCCACUCCUAUUCUUGCCUGGAGAAUCCCAUGGACAGAGCAGCCUGGCGGGCUACAGUCCAAGGGGUCGCAAAGAGUUGGACGUUUACAACUGAAGCAACUGAGCACACAUGACCUUGAGUGAGGAACAUGUUUUAAUCACAGUCUCUACACGUACACAAACACAUACACACACUCCUAAGCAGAACACUCACGAAACAAUACUUAUCAUUACUAUGAACAAUGCAGGUUCACACUUUAUAUCCUAAAUUUCACCCAAAGUCAAAAUCCAUCGAAAUGAUUUCACAACCACUAAUAAGUUACAAUCCUUUCCAAACACCACUGGCCUGGAAGAUCUAAGUUGCCUUUAGGUCUAAAACUCUAUGGUGUAAAAUAGAAAGAAAGAAAAAGGGGUGGGGGUUGUUUUUUAAAGCUUUUGAUUUGUUUUUAAAGCUUAUAUACUAUUUAAAGACAAUUUUCCUAAAAGAUUGGUAAUUUUCACUAAGACCAAGAAUCCUAAUGUUUCUCAAUAAAUUCAAGACAGAUUCAACUUCAUCUGCCACUAUUUUCCCCAUGAAGGAUACAAAGAGUACUUGAAUUAUUUAAAAAAUAUUAACACUCAGAGAUUAGAAGUCAGCACUCUCAAAUGCUACUAGUGGGAAUGUCAAGAGAUGUAACUCUUCUGCAGGGUAUCCCCAAGUAUCAAAGUCUUUAAAUGUCAUACUUUUCAACCUAGACACUGCAGACAUUUCUAGAAUUCUAUCCAAAGGUAAUAAAGGGUUGGGCAAAGACUAAGCUGAAAGAAUCAUGGCAAUGUGUUUUAUAAUAGCUAAAAGCUGGGAGGAAAAUAUAAAUAUAUAACAGGGCCAGAUCCAAACAAUCAAAUUUUAUUUUGCCAUUAGGAACAAUAAUUUAGAUAAACAGUGACCUUGCUAACAGGCAAUAAUUUCACAAUAAAGGGGGCGGGGAGAAGCACAGUUAUCAACCACAAUUUUUAAAAGCCUGAAAGGCUAUAUACAAAGGAGUUAAUAAUAGCAAACCGAGGAAUUUAUUCUCUUCUUUUGGCCUACCAACUUUUACUAAUUUCCAAAUAAUGAUCCUAUAUUGUCUUCUAAUAAAAAAGAGAGCUACUGUAUACAUAGCUCUUAGAAGUCAGUAAUUUUUUAAAAAAUGACUCAGCAAAUAAAUCUACUGCUUUAAUUUCCCAACACAGAAAUACUCUUACCUUAUAUUUUAGGGGUAAAUAUCUUACUGCAAGGUUAAAUCAUCAUUAUGGUAGUGCUUCUUAUUAUGCAUAAAUCUUACAGUAUCACAUGGUAAUAAUUUUUCCUUGUUACAAUAAAUGAAAAGAACUUGGAAAAGAGCAAUGAAAUUUAUAAAGUUGACCGCCAAAGUUGUCAAAAGUAGUUCACUUUGAAGAGACAAACACAUUUGAGGUUUCAAUGCUUGUGCUGCUUAAAAAGCAGAUAAGAUUUUUCCACUGAUUUGUGAUUGUGGAUCACAACAACGCAGUUGUUCUUAGGCUCCCAAAAAGGGGGUGAGAGGAGGGACUGGAAGAAGUAACACCUCAGUUUUCUUUCCACCAGAGCCAAUGAGAGAGUGAGCCCUGGUGAUCAUUAUUCCAUCUCUCAGUCAAAGGAACCAUGUUUCAGGGCAGUUUCACAAAGUCUAUAAAAGUUGUCCAAUUUGUGAAUGUUUACUAUGCUCUAUAAUUCAUCUAUCAAAUAUGCCAGAGGGGGGAGAAAACACACUACAGACGUCUUAGAUUUUACCAUGUGCUUCUCUAGUAGAGUGGCACAUUUCAAAACCACCAAAGAGAUACAUUUAAGUUGCUGUAUGAUACACCUCCUCCUCUGACCCUAUCCAUCUCAGGUCGGUCAGUUGGAGCUGUCCAUGUUCUGUUUUACGCAUAUCUCCAACACGGGAAAAAUAAAAGCAGAGGCACUGGGAUACAACAAAAGCAACGCAGAGAGAGAAAUGUAUAGCUUAGAAUGGAAGUUAAGAACGGAAUCAACUUAACAAAAGAUGUGCAAGACUUCGACACUAAGAACUGCCAAGGCACUGCUCAAGAGAAACAAGAAGAUUUAAAUAAUCAAGAGAUAUACUGGGUUUAUGGAUUAGAAGACUCAACAUUUGUUAAAGAUGGAAAUUCUCCCCAAAAUGAUCUUUAGACUCAAUGCAGUUCUGAUCAUAAUCCCAUAAUCUUCAUAGAAUUUGACAAUUUCAUUCAAAAAUGAGUAUGAAAACCAAAAGGACCUAAAAGAAUCAAAACAAUGUUUUUAAAGUUGACUUAUUAUACAGUGUGGUAUUGGCAAAAGGAUAGCCAUAGAUCACAGAACAGAAGAGAGGCCAGAAAAACAACUACAAACAAGUGGGGAAUUGAGUUUUUGACAGAUUACUAAAGCAAUUCAAUGGAAGAGGACAGUCUCUUAAUCCAAUAGAGCUGGAAUGACUAGAUGGCUGUAUACAAAACAAGAACACUGAUAUCCUUACCUCACACUAUAUACAAAAAUUAACUCUAAAGAGAUCAAAGACCUAAAUGUCAAAGCUAAGCUCUUACAAUGAUGCUCGUCCAAACAUGGUAGUCACUAGCUACAUGUAGCUGUUUUAAGUUUCAAUGAAGUAUAAUUAAAUAUAAUUAAAAAUCCAAUUCAAUUUAAAUGUAAUUAAACACUCAGUUCCUAAAUCAAACUGGACACAUUUCAUGAGCUUAAUAGCUACACACAGCUCAUGACUACCAAAGUGGAUGGUGCAACUAUGGAAAACUGAAAUCUAGUGAAAGAAAGGUCAGUGUUUGCUAAGGCUGCGGUGGGGUCAGGUUCUGACUCAAGGACACAAGGGAACUUCUGGGGGUGACAGAAACGUUCUUAUCUGGAUUGUGGAGGAAGUUGCAGGGGAAUGUAAAUUUGUCACACAGUAUACUUUAAGUGGGUACAAUCUGUUUUAUAAAAAUCACACCUCAAUAAAAUUGAUUCAAAAACAAAAAUGGAGAUUAGCGAAGGGAAAGGGCAGAGGGAGACGUGUACAUAUAGGCACCUGUGUAUAGAAGACUAUAUCUAGUACUUUGACUAUGCUAGUGCGGACAAUUUAUUCCAAUUUCUUACUGAGUUACUCUCUAUGUUUGUGGAAGGUGACUGUAUGAAUACACUGCAGUUUCUUAUGCACACUUACUUAUUUACGGUCAGAUUCUGGUUGGCUGAGCAGAAAGGGCACAACGAUGUCAUGCUGGCCCCAGGAGCCACUCGGCCAACCAAGGCCAGCAAGCGCUCACGGUGCACUGUGCGGGGUCAGACACUGGGGCUCCAGAACAAGAAGGAGCACCACAGCCUCGUGAGAGAGACAGGCGUGCACACCAUUUCAACGCCAAAGAAUAAACCAAGUCAGAUCAGGUGAAGGAGAGAAGGUGGGGUGCUGGUCUCUACAAAGCCCUGACAACGCAAGCAAGGGGAGCAAGGGGCCAGAGGUCUGAGGAGUAAUGAGGGAAAAGGAACAGAAUUCAGUCUGGUUGGAGCACUGGGUUUUUGGGAGGGAACAAUGAGAGGCUGAAGUGGGGGAGGGUAGAGAGGACAGCAGGUGAGAGCUAGAGGGUGAAACUCCUGGUAGCUGGUCCUAGCUAAGCCUUGUUCCUAAAGGUAGCAGGGCGGUAGUGCAGGGCAGAGGCAGGGCGCUAGUGCAGGGCAGAGGCAGGGCGAAGACAACCACAGGUGUCAGUAGGAUCAAGGGUGGCCGGAAGAGGGAGAAGAAAAUCCCAGGAAGGAAGGAGGAAACCAGUUUUCAUUCGGGUCCAUUCCUCCUUCCUCAUGUAUUUCUUUUUCUUUGGGGGAAGGAAGGCUGAGCCGGGGAUGAGCAAGCAUUCAAGAGAUCCUUGCCUUCUUCCUCUGUAAUUUCCUGUAAUUUAAUAAAUGUAAAAAGUGUGGCAUGUGAAUUUCUCAACUGACUUGUAAAGAAUCUAUCCAGAGAGAAAAAAAGCGAGGGAGAUGGCCAUUAUCACAAGAGACAGCAGGAACACACUUGAGACCAGGAUCAGCAACGAUGUAUGUGACUUAAGGGUCACUACCGUGGCUCAGCUCUUACAGCCGAGGAGGCACAGCCAACCCGUGGUGGCACUGAGUCCUCCUGGGUCCACGUGGGGUCCCGUCAUCCUUCCUACUGACCGGCAGUACUCCAACCAGGCACUGCUGCUCAAACCGAGUUGGCAUGAAGAAAAAACACACUGGCCAUUCCUGAUGCAGACCCUGGCUUCUCACUAAUAAUGGAAUGGGGCAAGACCAUAGGUCAGCAUACUUUUCUUAAAAGGUCAGAAUGUGUACAGAUUUUAGAUGCUGUCAGCCACAUGGUCUCUGUUGCAACUACUACUCAAUUCUGCCACUGAAGCAGGAAAAAAGCCACAGACAAUAGCUGUGGCUGGUGAGGGAGAGCGUAUAGAGGACAGAAGGUAAGAGCUAGAUGUUGAAACUCCUGGUUUCACAGACACAGACAUGACUGUUUCCAAUAAAACUAUUUAUG